UACGGAGGGAGCUAGCGUUGUUCGGAAUUACUGGGCGUAAAGCGCGCGUAGGCGGCUUUGUAAGUUAGAGGUGAAAGCCCGGAGCUCAACUCCGGAAUGCCUUUAAGACUGCAUCGCUAGAAUCAUGGAGAGGUGAGUGGAAUUCCGAGUGUAGAGGUGAAAUUCGUAGAUAUUCGGAAGAACACCAGUGGCGAAGGCGGCUGACUGGUCCGGUUCUGACGCUGAGGCGCGAAAGCGUGGGGAGCCGAACGAGG
This 254-nucleotide ribosomal RNA is filed under the name uncultured bacterium. RNAcentral describes it as "partial 16S ribosomal RNA". It matches the Rfam family "Bacterial small subunit ribosomal RNA", at positions 524 to 777 of the family's 1533-position model. The record is from RNAcentral.